CCCGCUGAACUUAAGCAUAUCAAUAAGCGGAGGAAAAGAAACCAACAGGGAUUGCCUCAGUAACGGCGAGUGAAGCGGCAAGAGCUCAAAUUUGAAAUCUGGCUCCUCUUGGGGCCCGAGUUGUAAUUUGGAGAGGAUGCUUCGGGACUGGCCCCCAUCUAAGUGCCCUGGAACGGGCCGUCAUAGAGGGUGAGAAUCCCGUCUGGGAUGGGUGGCCUGGCCCGUGUGAAGCUCCUUCGACGAGUCGAGUUGUUUGGGAAUGCAGCUCUAAAUGGGUGGUAAAUUUCAUCUAAAGCUAAAUAUUGGCCGGAGACCGAUAGCGCACAAGUAGAGUGAUCGAAAGAUGAAAAGCGCUUUGAAAAGAGAGUUAAACAGCACGUGAAAUUGUUGAAAGGGAAGCGCUUGCAACCAGACUCGCCCGGGGGGGCUCAACCGGCACUUGUGCCGGUGCACUCCCCCCCGGGCGGGCCAGCGUCGGUUUGGGCGGCCGGUCAAAGGUCCCCGGAAUGUAUCACCUCUCGGGGUGUCUUAUAGCCGGGGAUGCCAUGCGGCCAGCCCGGACCGAGGAACGCGCUUCGGCUCGGACGCUGGCGUAAUGGUUGUAAGCGGCCCGUCUUGAAACACGG
This 626-nucleotide ribosomal RNA is filed under the name uncultured fungus. RNAcentral describes it as "eukaryotic LSU rRNA". It matches the Rfam family "Eukaryotic large subunit ribosomal RNA", at positions 24 to 664 of the family's 3401-position model. The record is from RNAcentral. Lineage: Eukaryota; Fungi.